Molecule: ribosomal RNA, 38 nt
Filed under: Spumella-like flagellate 376hm
Lineage: Eukaryota; Chrysophyceae; Chromulinales; Chromulinaceae
Description: partial 28S ribosomal RNA
Source: RNAcentral
CCUCCAAUCAGUCCAAGAAUACCCGCUGAAUUUAAGCA